GAUGCGAGCGUUAUCCGGAUUUAUUGGGUUUAAAGGGAGCGUAGGCCGGAGAUUAAGCGUGUUGUGAAAUGUAGUGGCUCAACCUCUGCACUGCAGCGCGAACUGGUCUUCUUGAGUACGCACAACGUGGGCGGAAUUCGUGGUGUAGCGGUGAAAUGCUUAGAUAUCACGAAGAACUCCGAUUGCGAAGGCAGCUUACCGUAGCAUUACUGACGCUGAUGCUCGAAGGUGCGGGUAUC
RNAcentral lists this ribosomal RNA (239 nucleotides) under uncultured bacterium. RNAcentral describes it as "partial 16S ribosomal RNA". It matches the Rfam family "Bacterial small subunit ribosomal RNA", at positions 531 to 769 of the family's 1533-position model. The record is from RNAcentral.